Molecule: long non-coding RNA, 1114 nt
Organism: Micropterus salmoides (largemouth bass)
Lineage: Eukaryota; Metazoa; Chordata; Actinopteri; Centrarchiformes; Centrarchidae
Exons: 2
Source: RefSeq, a predicted model, not a curated record
CAACAAUGUUCAAAUCUCUGAUCAGACUGACUUGCCGUUGUAUUAUCACUCCAAUCAAUCUGACACAACCUUAUUUUUGUGGCAAUAAGAUUUGAUUUAGCCAUAAAUUAAAUAGACUGACAUUUUUGGGUAAAUUACUUUUUUCUCAAAGCUGAGACUGUGAGCUAGUGCACAGUUAGUGUAAGUAAGUUUUUAAAGAUUAGUUUUUUCAAAAUAUUGAGUUUGCUGUAUCUUGACUUGUCAAGUCACUGCUGGUUAAUCAAGGCAAUGUUGAGCCAAACGCAGGCAGUCCAGGAUGAUUCACUGAUAAGGUAGCUUACAGGCAGGCAGGUAGGUACAGGUCCUUGUAACAUAACAGAAAAUAAAUUUACAGCUCAAAGAAAACACUAUCUGUGUCUUUCUUAACAAUUUAGACAGCAUUCUUUGUAAAGCUAAGGUGGUUUUUAAUCACAGUUUCAAAAUAUUUAAAGCUACUGAUGGUUUCUACAGUGAUUGUCAAAGUUUUUUCAGGUGCCAUUUAAAUCCUGUAUAUUUCUGCACACACAUCAAGCUACUGAUACCAAACAAUAUAUUUUUUGUAUUCACCACCUGUAUGUGUGAUGAACAUCUUCACAUGUUGUGAUCACAUUAUGUUUGCUCUCAGAUGGGUCCAGCAACAUCACCAUACCGAUUACUGCUGCAGUGGUUGUUUUUGCUGUCGUUCUCAUCGCUGUUAUUGGAUUUACUGUUUACAAAAAGAAGAGAGCAAAUCGCCCUCCAACUCGUAAGUAGAAUCUUGUUUUUAUUCUGUUGGUGUGACAUUCACUCUGUAGAUUAAAAAGGGCUUUCAGUGUGAGCUGAGGUAGUUCAGUGCAGGAAAAGAGGACUAACAGUGUGUUUCUGACCUUACAGCUUCUGUCAACAGCUCUGAGCUCUCUGAGAGACUGAAUCCAGAAACAAGAUUGACAAACUUUUCUGUUCUGGGGUCCUGGGGUUUUAGUGUUUUCGGUGUGGUGGGGAUGUUUUUACUAUUGUUCUGAAAUGGCUCUGUAGUGUCAAGCACUUUCUGCUACAUGUAUUUGUAUGAAAAGUGAUAUAUAAAUAAAGAUUGGAUUGAUUGAUUGAUUGAAACACA